Molecule: ribosomal RNA, 112 nt
Filed under: Caerostris darwini
Lineage: Eukaryota; Metazoa; Arthropoda; Arachnida; Araneae; Araneidae
Source: RNAcentral
AACGGCCGUACCAUGCUGAAUAUACCGGUUCUCGUUAGAUCACUGAAGUCAAGCAUCAUUGGGCGCGGUCAGUACUUGGGUGGGUGACCACCUGGGAACACUGCGUGCCGUU